RNAcentral lists this small nucleolar RNA (79 nucleotides) under Gorilla gorilla gorilla (western lowland gorilla). RNAcentral describes it as "Small nucleolar RNA U3". It matches the Rfam family "Small nucleolar RNA U3", at positions 1 to 79 of the family's 219-position model. From Rfam's summary of the family: Small nucleolar RNAs (snoRNAs) are involved in the processing and modification of rRNA in the nucleolus. There are two main classes of snoRNAs: the box C/D class, and the box H/ACA class. Lineage: Eukaryota; Metazoa; Chordata; Mammalia; Primates; Hominidae. The record is from Rfam by way of RNAcentral.
AAGACUGUACUUUCAGGGAUCAUUUCUAUAGUUUGUUACUAGAGAAGUUUCUCUGAACGUGUAGAGCACUAAAAUGCUA